This 497-nucleotide ribosomal RNA is filed under the name uncultured bacterium. Its description in RNAcentral is "partial 16S ribosomal RNA". It matches the Rfam family "Bacterial small subunit ribosomal RNA", at positions 28 to 507 of the family's 1533-position model. The record is from RNAcentral.
GAUGAACGCUGGCGGCGUGCCUAAUACAUGCAAGUCGAGCGAACAGACGAGGAGCUUGUUCCUCUGAUGUUAGCGGCGGAGGGGUGAGUCACAUGUGGAUACUCUACCUAUAAGACGGGGAUAACUUCGGGACACCGGAGCUAAUACCGUAUUAUUUAAUGAACCGUAUGGUUCACUAGUAAAAUGCGGUUGUGCUGUUACUUAUUGGUGGUUCCGUGCCUCAGUAGCUAGUUGGUGAGGUAACGGCUUACCAAGGCAAUGAAUCGUAGCCGACCGGAGAGGGGGAUGGGCCACCCUGGAACGGGACCACGGUCCAAACUCCUACGGGAGGCAGCAGUAGGGAAUCUUCCGCAAUGGGCGAAAUCCGGACGGAGCAACGCCGCGUGAGUGAUGAGGGUCUUCGGAUCGUAAAACUCUGUUAUUAGGGAAGAACAAAUGUGUAAGUAACUAUGCACGUCUUGACGGUACCUAAUCAGAAAGCCACGGCUAACUACGUG